This 84-nucleotide transfer RNA is filed under the name Minisyncoccota bacterium. Its description in RNAcentral is "tRNA-Leu". Lineage: Bacteria; Bacillati; Minisyncoccota. The record is from RNAcentral.
GCGCAGGUGUUGUAACUGGUAGCCAAGCAUCCUUGAGGUGGAUGUGCCCGUAAGGGCGUGGAGGUUCAAGUCCUCUCCUGCGCA